GACGAACGCUGGCGGCGUGCUUAACACAUGCAAGUCGAACGGAAAGGCCCUGCUUUUGUUGGGUGCUCGAGUGGCGAACGGGUGAGUAACACGUGAGUAACCUGCCCUUGACUUUGGGAUUACUUCAGGAAACUGGGGCUAAUACCGGAUAGGAGCUCCUGCUGCAUGGUGGGGGUAGGAAAGUUUCGGCGGUUGGGGAUGGACUCGCGGCUUAUCAGCUUGUUGGGGGGGUAGUGGCUUACCAAGGGUUUGACGGGUAGCCGGCCUGAGCGGGUGACCGGCGACAUUGGGACUGAGGUACGGCCCAGUCUCGUACGGGGGGCAGCAGUGGGGAAUAUUGCACAAUGGGCGGAAGCCUGAUGCAGCAACGCCGCGUGCGGGAUGACGGCCUUCGGGUUGUAAACCGCUUUCGCCUGUGACGAAGCGUGAGUGACGGUAAUGGGUAAAGAAGCACCGGCUAACUACGUG
Molecule: ribosomal RNA, 468 nt
Filed under: uncultured bacterium
Lineage: Bacteria
Description: partial 16S ribosomal RNA
Rfam family: Bacterial small subunit ribosomal RNA
Source: RNAcentral